UAAAGCUCAGUUCAAUGUUUCUAUAUGUAUUCAAAGAAGUGAUAAUGUUAAAGAAUAUAUGUUAGAAUUGCUUCAGUCAUACAUGAGAUAACACACUGUUCUCCAAUAGUCUUCAUAUAUUAAUACAUCCUCUCAAAAUGGAGUUAUUAUAUAAGAGGAAGAAUAGACAUCUACUUGAGACAAUUUGGGCACUUUAGUUUCAAAUAAAGCUUCCUAAAUAAUUUUGGGUUGAUGCAGUCUUUACGACUUGCUUUCUGAUUAAUCUCAUGUCAUCUUUUGUGCUUAUUGAUAAUACGUCUUAUAGUGUUUAUUUUUCUUUCAAAUAAAUCACUAUUUUUGAUGAAAUCUAAGGUAUUUGAAAGCACAUACUUAUGAUCAAGAUGUUCGGCCAUCUAUUAUCAAGUUAGAUUCCUUUUCAUUAAAGUGCGCUUUUUCUGUAUUAUUUUCGCAUUCAAAAUCGAUAUCAAUGUUAUUCUAAUGAACUUGACAAAUAUCUUGGAUCAGAUGAUGUGGUAUUUUCAGAGACUACAUCAUUCUUCUAUGCACCUCUUAUUUCUACAAGUUUGGGGGAAGAAAAAUGAGUGGUUAGUCUGGCAAGUCACUCAUAUUUUGAUAGAGCAAUCAGAUGUUGUUCCUCUAUUUCACGGUUCUUCUGCUAAUUACCACCCAACUAUUGUAUCUUCAAUAUCUGUUCCAUCCACGGUAGCAAGACCACCAAUUCUUCAAAUUUACUCAAGGAGGCGAAAGAUUGAUGAUACUUGUCAUGCACAAAUUUUGUUGUUGGAUCCUCCAAAAACCUUGGCCUAUCUAUUGCUCUUUCCAAAGGAAGGCGAAAACAACAGGCCAUGCAACGAUAAUUGCUCCAACGACUCCAAGAAAAUCAUGCUCAAAUCCAAAAUAACGCCCCAAGAAUUGUUCCACAUUUUCAUCAUCGCUAAGCAUAUUUUGGAGGUCUCCGAAUUGUGAUGCAACAAGACCAUACAAGGUCCACGCAACAGGGCAAAGCCAAUAGUCGUGGAACGAUGAAUCCUGAGAAGAGAUUCCAUACUGCAUAGAAGAAAGCCGCGACUAUAGAAGCAACGUUUUGAUUCG
This is a long non-coding RNA of Solanum dulcamara, 1092 nucleotides long. RefSeq lists it as uncharacterized. The transcript has 3 exons. Lineage: Eukaryota; Viridiplantae; Streptophyta; Magnoliopsida; Solanales; Solanaceae. The record is from RefSeq and is a predicted model, not a curated record.